This 253-nucleotide ribosomal RNA is filed under the name uncultured bacterium. RNAcentral describes it as "partial 16S ribosomal RNA". It matches the Rfam family "Bacterial small subunit ribosomal RNA", at positions 524 to 776 of the family's 1533-position model. The record is from RNAcentral.
UACAGAGGGUGCGAGCGUUGUUCGGAAUUAUUGGGCGUAAAGCGCAUGUAGGCGGUCUGCUAAGUCGCGUGUGAAAGCUUCCAGCUCAACUGGAAAAGUGCGCGCGAAACUGGUGGACUUGAGUGCUGGAGAGGGUGGCGGAAUUCCCGGUGUAGAGGUGAAAUUCGUAGAUAUCGGGAGGAACACCAGAGGCGAAGGCGGCCACCUGGACAGACACUGACGCUGAGACGCGAAAGCGUGGGGAGCAAACAGG